Molecule: ribosomal RNA, 459 nt
Filed under: uncultured bacterium
Lineage: Bacteria
Description: partial 16S ribosomal RNA
Rfam family: Bacterial small subunit ribosomal RNA
Source: RNAcentral
CCUACGGGUGGCAGCAGUGAGGAAUAUUGGUCAAUGGCCGAGAGGCUGAACCAGCCAAGCCGCGUGAGGGAAGACGGCCCUACGGGUUGUAAACCUCUUUUGUCGGGGAGCAAAGCGAGUCACGUGUGACUCAUUGAGAUUACCCGAAGAAAAAGCAUCGGCUAACCCCGUGCCAGCAGCCGCGGUAAUACGGAGGAUGCGACCGUUAUCCGGAUUUAUUGGGUUUAAAGGGUGUGCAGGCGGGGGUGCAAGUCAGCGGUAAAAUUGCGGGGCUCAAGCCCGUACUUCCGUUGAAACUGCCUCCCUUGAGUGCGGGAGAAGGAGGCGGAAUGCGUGGUGUAGCGGUGAAAUGCAUAGAUAUCACGCAGAACACCGAUUGCGAAGGCAGCAUACCGGCGCGCAACUGACGCUCAUGCACGAAAGCGUGGGUAUCGAACAGGAUUAGAUACCCCGGUAGUC